This 459-nucleotide ribosomal RNA is filed under the name uncultured bacterium. Its description in RNAcentral is "partial 16S ribosomal RNA". It matches the Rfam family "Bacterial small subunit ribosomal RNA", at positions 338 to 795 of the family's 1533-position model. The record is from RNAcentral.
CCUACGGGAGGCAGCAGUGAGGAAUAUUGGUCAAUGGACGGAAGUCUGAACCAGCCAUGCCGCGUGCAGGAAGACGGCUCUAUGAGUUGUAAACUGCUUUUGUACAAGGGUAAACCUGAAUACGUGUAUUCAGCUGAAAGUACUGUACGAAUAAGCAUCGGCUAACUCCGUGCCAGCAGCCGCGGUAAUACGGAGGAUGCGAGCGUUAUCCGGAUUUAUUGGGUUUAAAGGGUGCGUAGGCGGUUUUUUAAGUUAGUGGUUAAACGUCGGGGCUUCACCUUGAUUUGCCAUUAAUACUGUAAGACUCGAGUUCAGACGAGGUAGGCGGAAUAAGUUAAGUAGCGGUGAAAUGCUUAGAUAUAACUUAGAACUCCGAUAGCGAAGGCAGCUUACCAGACUGCGACUGACGCUGAAGCACGAGAGCGUGGGUAGCGAACAGGAUUAGAUACCCCAGUAGUC